GAUGAACGCUGGCGGCGUGCCUAACACAUGCAAGUCGAACGGAGAUUACGGACGGAAGUUUUCGGAUGGAAGCCUGUAAUUCUUAGUGGCGGACGGGUGAGUAACGCGUGGGCAACCUGCCCUAUACAGGGGGAUAGCAGCUGGAAACGGCUGGUAAGACCGCAUAAGUCGGUUAAAUCGCAUGAUUUGAUCGGGAAAUGAGCAAUCAGGUAUAGGAUGGGCCCGCGUCCGAUUAGCCAGUUGGCAGGGUAAAAGCCUACCAAAGCGACGAUCGGUGGCCGGACUGAGAGGUCGGACGGCCACAUUGGGACUGAGACACGGCCCAAACUCCUACGGGAGGCAGCAGUGGGGGAUAUUGCACAAUGGAGGAAACUCUGAUGCAGCGACGCCGCGUGAGUGAAGAAGUAUUUCGGUAUGUAAAGCUCUAUCAGCAGGGAAGAUGAUGACGGUACCUGACGAAGAAGCCCCGGCUAACUACGUG
This 481-nucleotide ribosomal RNA is filed under the name uncultured bacterium. Its description in RNAcentral is "partial 16S ribosomal RNA". It matches the Rfam family "Bacterial small subunit ribosomal RNA", at positions 28 to 507 of the family's 1533-position model. The record is from RNAcentral.